RNAcentral lists this ribosomal RNA (261 nucleotides) under Triticum aestivum (bread wheat). RNAcentral's name for it is "partial small subunit ribosomal RNA". Lineage: Eukaryota; Viridiplantae; Streptophyta; Magnoliopsida; Poales; Poaceae. The record is from RNAcentral.
AUGGUGAGGGAGCAUUUCAUCGCUCCAGAAGCAGAGGCCAUCCUCAAUAUCCCCCUGAGGAUUGGUGGUGGACCUGACUCGGUUGCAUGGAACGCUGAAAAGUCUAGUAACUACACUGUUAAAUCCGCGUACCGCUCUCUAAUGACUCAGAAUGAGCAUGUUGCUCUUCAGGAAGGGACGGCUACAGAAUCUUCAGAGAAACAGAAGCAGUUGUGGACUAGACUCUGGAAGCUGAAAGUUGUGCCAAGGGUGCGAGUGUUU